This 494-nucleotide ribosomal RNA is filed under the name Staphylococcus aureus. Its description in RNAcentral is "partial 23S ribosomal RNA". It matches the Rfam family "Bacterial large subunit ribosomal RNA", at positions 1592 to 2087 of the family's 2925-position model. The record is from RNAcentral. Lineage: Bacteria; Bacillati; Bacillota; Bacilli; Caryophanales; Staphylococcaceae.
CGUUGAUUUCACACUGCCGAGAAAAGCCUCUAGAUAGAAAAUAGGUGCCCGUACCGCAAACCGACACAGGUAGUCAAGAUGAGAAUUCUAAGGUGAGCGAGCGAACUCUCGUUAAGGAACUCGGCAAAAUGACCCCGUAACUUCGGGAGAAGGGGUGCUCUUUAGGGUUAACGCCCAGAAGAGCCGCAGUGAAUAGGCCCAAGCGACUGUUUAUCAAAAACACAGGUCUCUGCUAAACCGUAAGGUGAUGUAUAGGGGCUGACGCCUGCCCGGUGCUGGAAGGUUAAGAGGAGUGGUUAGCUUCUGCGAAGCUACGAAUCGAAGCCCCAGUAAACGGCGGCCGUAACUAUAACGGUCCUAAGGUAGCGAAAUUCCUUGUCGGGUAAGUUCCGACCCGCACGAAAGGCGUAACGAUUUGGGCACUGUCUCAACGAGAGACUCGGUGAAAUCAUAGUACCUGUGAAGAUGCAGGUUACCCGCGACAGGACGGAAAG